CCCUUAGAUGUUCUGGGCCGCGCGCGUGCUACACUGACCGGCGCAACAAGUUUCUUUCCUUGGCUCGAUAGGCCUGGGUAAUCUUUGAACGCCGGUCGUGAUGGGGAUAGAUCCUUGCAAUUUUUGAUCUUCAACGAGGAAUUCCUAGUAAAUGCGAGUCAUCAUCUCGCGUUGAUUACGUCCCUGCCCUUUGUACACACCGCCCGUCGCACCUACCGAUUGAAUGGUCCGGUGAAGCCUCGGGAUUGCGAAUGCUUCGUGCGGACGCGAGAACUUGGCUAAACCUUACCAUUUAGAGGAAGGUGAAGUCGUAACA
Molecule: ribosomal RNA, 316 nt
Filed under: uncultured eukaryote
Lineage: Eukaryota
Description: partial 18S ribosomal RNA
Rfam family: Eukaryotic small subunit ribosomal RNA
Source: RNAcentral